Molecule: ribosomal RNA, 176 nt
Filed under: Nemapteryx nenga
Lineage: Eukaryota; Metazoa; Chordata; Actinopteri; Siluriformes; Ariidae
Description: partial 12S rRNA
Source: RNAcentral
CACCGCGGUUAUACGAAAGACCCUAGUUGACAAACACGGCGUAAAGGGUGGUUAAGGGACAUACAAAAUAAAGCCAAAGACCCUCUAGGCCGUCAUACGCAUCCCGAAGGUACGAAGCCCCCACACGAAAGUAGCUUUAAAUAAACAAAACCCCUGACCCCACGAAAGCUAAGAAA